AACGCAUAUGGCACCCGAGACCUCGGUCGAGGGUAUGUCUGCCUCAGAGUCGGCGUAAAACAACUCCUCUCAUGGCUGAUGCUCAGCUCAUGCAGGGGGAACUGACCUUCCCGCGCCGUUGGUGCGGGUUGGUCGAAGGAGAGAAACGGGUAUUACCUGGCCGGAGCACCUCCUGGCCGACCGAGAUUUGUUGGAAGGAUUUCGAUCCGAUCUUCGUCUCGGGAACAGGGAGAACAGCACCGCCAUGGUUGCCCGCUAUGCAGGAAAACGGAGGUACACCCCUCCCUCACCUUCCGACCUGAGUUCAGGCAAGAUCACCCGCUGAACUUAA
This 331-nucleotide unclassified non-coding RNA is filed under the name uncultured fungus. RNAcentral describes it as "partial contains 5.8S ribosomal RNA, internal transcribed spacer 2, and large subunit ribosomal RNA". The record is from RNAcentral. Lineage: Eukaryota; Fungi.